RNAcentral lists this small nuclear RNA (170 nucleotides) under Sorex araneus (European shrew). RNAcentral describes it as "U1 spliceosomal RNA (ENSSARG00000016087.1)". It matches the Rfam family "U1 spliceosomal RNA". From Rfam's summary of the family: U1 is a small nuclear RNA (snRNA) component of the spliceosome (involved in pre-mRNA splicing). Lineage: Eukaryota; Metazoa; Chordata; Mammalia; Eulipotyphla; Soricidae. The record is from RNAcentral.
AUACUUACCAGGCAGGGGUUAUACUAUGGUCACAAAGGAGAAUUGCUCGGGACGAAGCUUAUCCAUCGCACCCUGGAUGGAUGUGCUGAGACUGAGAUUUCCCCAAAUGUGGGAAAGUGUUUGCAUAAUUUGUAGUAUUGGAUGGUUUAAAGAAAAUUGAUUCUCCUCCC